UUGCCUGCUGCUACUUGGCCGGCUCCGGCACCGGCUGGCCCCCCCUCGAGGUCUCCACUCUCGUUCAUUGUGCUCGCCCGGGUUGGACGCAGAGCCGGAACACGGAACAGGGCUGCUGGCCUCGGCUCCGCUCCGCUCGGCGCUCGGUCGCACCAGACGCAUGAUGAUAUUUGACGGCGAUGAUGGCUUCCACGGCGGACCGACAGGUGCACGCCGACGAGGUGGAGUGUGUGCCCUGGGAGCGGGCCCCGGCCACGGGCGCUCGCUCGAGCGUCUGCCUGAAGCCGAG
RNAcentral lists this long non-coding RNA (289 nucleotides) under Sorghum bicolor (sorghum). RNAcentral's name for it is "long non-coding RNA (SBIC_LNC017842)". The record is from RNAcentral. Lineage: Eukaryota; Viridiplantae; Streptophyta; Magnoliopsida; Poales; Poaceae.